RNAcentral lists this ribosomal RNA (1372 nucleotides) under uncultured bacterium. RNAcentral's name for it is "bacterial SSU rRNA". It matches the Rfam family "Bacterial small subunit ribosomal RNA", at positions 28 to 1381 of the family's 1533-position model. The record is from RNAcentral.
GAUGAACGCUGGCGGCGUGCCUAAUACAUGCAAGUCGAGCGAACGGACGAGAAGCUUGCUUCUCUGAUGUUAGCGGCGGACGGGCGAGUAACACGUGGAUAACCUACCUAUAAGACUGGGAUAGCUUCGGGAAACCGGAGCUAAUACCGGAUAAUAUUUUGAACCGCAUGGUUCAAAAGUGAAAGACGGUCUUGCUGUCACUUAUAGAUGGAUCCGCGCUGCAUUAGCUAGUUGGUAAGGUAACGGCUUACCAAGGCAACGAUGCAUAGCCGACCUGAGAGGGUGAUCGGCCACACUGGAACUGAGACACGGUCCAGACUCCUACGGGAGGCAGCAGUAGGGAAUCUUCCGCAAUGGGCGAAAGCCUGACGGAGCAACGCCGCGUGAGUGAUGAAGGUCUUCGGAUCGUAAAACUCUGUUAUUAGGGAAGAACAUAUGUGUAAGUAACUGUGCACAUCUUGACGGUACCUAAUCAGAAAGCCACGGCUAACUACGUGCCAGCAGCCGCGGUAAUACGUAGGUGGCAAGCGUUAUCCGGAAUUAUUGGGCGUAAAGCGCGCGUAGGCGGUUUUUUAAGUCUGAUGUGAAAGCCCACGGCUCAACCGUGGAGGGUCAUUGGAAACUGGAAAACUUGAGUGCAGAAGAGGAAAGUGGAAUUCCAUGUGUAGCGGUGAAAUGCGCAGAGAUAUGGAGGAACACCAGUGGCGAAGGCGACUUUCUGGUCUGUAACUGACGCUGAUGUGCGAAAGCGUGGGGAUCAAACAGGAUUAGAUACCCUGGUAGUCCACGCCGUAAACGAUGAGUGCUAAGUGUUAGGGGGUUUCCGCCCCUUAGUGCUGCAGCUAACGCAUUAAGCACUCCGCCUGGGGAGUACGACCGCAAGGUUGAAACUCAAAGGAAUUGACGGGGACCCGCACAAGCGGUGGAGCAUGUGGUUUAAUUCGAAGCAACGCGAAGAACCUUACCAAAUCUUGACAUCCUUUGACAACUCUAGAGAUAGAGCUUUCCCCUUCGGGGGACAAAGUGACAGGUGGUGCAUGGUUGUCGUCAGCUCGUGUCGUGAGAUGUUGGGUUAAGUCCCGCAACGAGCGCAACCCUUAAGCUUAGUUGCCAUCAUUAAGUUGGGCACUCUAAGUUGACUGCCGGUGACAAACCGGAGGAAGGUGGGGAUGACGUCAAAUCAUCAUGCCCCUUAUGAUUUGGGCUACACACGUGCUACAAUGGACAAUACAAAGGGCAGCGAAACCGCGAGGUCAAGCAAAUCCCAUAAAGUUGUUCUCAGUUCGGAUUGUAGUCUGCAACUCGACUACAUGAAGCUGGAAUCGCUAGUAAUCGUAGAUCAGCAUGCUACGGUGAAUACGUUCCCGGGUCU